This 301-nucleotide ribosomal RNA is filed under the name uncultured bacterium. Its description in RNAcentral is "partial 16S ribosomal RNA". It matches the Rfam family "Bacterial small subunit ribosomal RNA", at positions 509 to 807 of the family's 1533-position model. The record is from RNAcentral.
CAGCAGCCGCGGGAAUACGUAGGUGGCGAGCGUUGUCCGGAAUCAUUGGGCGUAAAGCGUGCGCAGGCGGUUAUAUAAGUCAGAUGUGAAAUCCCCGGGCUCAACCUGGGAACUGCAUUUGAGACUGUAUGGCUAGAGUGUGUCAGAGGGGGGUAGAAUUCCACGUGUAGCAGUGAAAUGCGUAGAUAUGUGGAGGAAUACCGAUGGCGAAGGCAGCCCCCUGGGAUAACACUGACGCUCAUGCACGAAAGCGUGGGAAGCAAACAGGAUUAGAUACCCGAGUAGUCCCUGUCUCUUAUAC